This 3314-nucleotide long non-coding RNA is filed under the name Bemisia tabaci. RNAcentral's name for it is "lncRNA ENSSSA1UGG004340". The record is from RNAcentral. Lineage: Eukaryota; Metazoa; Arthropoda; Insecta; Hemiptera; Aleyrodidae.
UUACCCAUUAAAACAUGUUUUCUACGAGGGCUCCUUCUUUACAAUCAAAUCAUCAAAAAAUCAAAGGUUGGACUGGUUUUAUAUCAAUUGCAUAAUUUUAAUGGCAAAACAUACUUGUUGACGUACACCGAUCAGACAAUAUUUGCUCAGAUUGGGGAAUCAGCAAACAUACUGUCAGUGUAGAACUUAACAUCAAUAGUAAAACCUCAAGAUAAUAGUCUAUAUUGAAGGACUUAUAACGACAGUUCUCGUUAAUCCUAUUAAAAUUUCCCAUAGUAUAAAUGUAUUUUUCUUUCCAAGUAAUAACGUUGUGGUGCACUUGGAUUUGAUUUACCAACUAUUUCAACAAACAAUAAUGGAAAAAAAAGUUGUUUUUCACGAAAAACUUGGGCAGUAUUCCAGAUCCAAUCUUGUUGCAAUGAUGUUAAGAACUGAACGCAGUGCUACUGUAUGUAGUAAAGACGGUUUUCUGUCUUGUGCAUAAAGCACAUAGGGAGGUACUCCAUACCAUGAUCAGUGGCGUGGCGUGAAUUGCGAUGUAUCGAUUGUUAUGACAUUUAAACCUAUGGUAUAGAAUCAAUUAUUAAGGUGUUCGCUGCGAACAUCCUGUUUAUCGAUCCUUUUCCAUAGGUUUAAAUGGCAUAACAAUCGAUUUAUCAAAACUCACGUGACGCCACUGACCAUGAUGUCUCACCAACCAGGUACUUCGCCAGGAACACCGAACAUCCAGAAUGUAAAGUUGCUCUUAAUGUUAGCACCAAGUGGAAUGUGAAACGGUAGUGUUUUUAGUUUUUCAAAUUUCGUUCCUAAACCUAUCUCUCUAAUUGUUUGUUUUUCUCUUAUCUUUUAUAGCAAAGAAAGUAAAAGGAAAAGAAGAAGUAUCACCGGAAAAAAAGAAUGCUCUAGAAAAUAAACUACCUGCUGCGCAAGCAAGCAAAAAACCAAAAAAAGAAAAUAAACAAGUUUCAAAUAAUCUAGGAAGGUUUGAUAAUGAAUCUAGCAGUUCAGACUCCUCGUCCUCCAGUGCCAGUUCAUCCUCAUCAGAUACUAGUGACUCGGAAGGAGGCCAUGAUGGGCACCUAAAGAAGAAGAGUGUAAAGAAGACGAACCAAGUUAAUAAAACUGGUGCUGAAACGAGGUCCGUCCCAACGCUCACGAUGAACACAGCCACUGGCGGAAUUAUUAAUAAACCGCAAAUACCUCCCCCUGUAACCGUAGCAACUCCUGUAACUUCCAGUGUUCUUCCUCCAACAACAACUCCACAACAAACACCUGGUAAUUUUCUUACAUUUAUUUAGAUUUGGUUGAACUUUGCUCUUAACAUUUUAUUGUUGCUCAUUCCCUGACUAGAAACUAAGAUAAAUUUUGUCCGCUUAAAGUGAUUCAAGUUUAAACAGUAUCAGUGAAAAAUUUAAGAAAAUCGCGGAAAGUAUAAUAUUUAGCCAUACCUUUGUUAAUGUCAUAGUAACUUCAAGUUCGGAAGUAUCUCAUUAUUUUUUACUGAACUAUUAGUUGCCACCAUGAUCAAAUGACAAGUGAAAUAGGGGAACCAUUGGUUAAAAUGCAUUACAGAGAAGUAUUCUUGUGGGAAUUUUAAAAUAUUGUACCUUCAUGGAACCUCUAAAAAUUGAAAUUCGUAACUUUAAAAAAGAAGGGAUUUCCGCAGGAUGAUUAGGAAUCCCAAUUUUUCUCUACCUGUUCUUGAAUUUUAAAAAAGCGCCAAAAGGAGUCAUCCUGGGAAACAUUUCAGGGUAUUGAAGUAAAUAAGACAAUCAAAGAAAGUGCUCAUUGAUGUUCUGAAUUUUCAUCCUCAAGUGGGACUCGAGUAGGUUCACCGGUUUAGGAGCCUUUUUUUCAUUACAAUUUUAAACUGAGCUCGAUUAUUAUUAAUUAACUUUUUUCAGCUGCGCCAGCUGUGAAGAAAGCAGUAUCUGUGAUCGCAAGUCGGCAAGAUCAGCCAGAUGUUAAACCGGCCGUUGUUGAGCCCCCAACUGUCCCUCAAUUUACUCCAGCGGUAGUGAAAGUGGAAGCAGGUAAAAUUUCAGGACACUCACUUUUUUUUCUUUUAUGUAAUUAUUUCCAUUUCCAAUGCCCAAGUACUGUUGAUUUCAUGGUGAAUGGUCUCACAAAAGCAGGAAGCAAAAAUCUUGAAAAAUAAGAUGUACAUGUUCAAAGAGUUCAGGAAGUUUGCUGUAUUACAUAGUCAAGGGGAAGUACUUCAAAAGUACGGACAUGUAUAAAUGAUCUGGAUCUUUUUUGCCAUGCUUUGAUAAAAGUGAUCACCUUAGAGUUAACCAACAAGGAACUCCAAGAAUGCGUCAUAAUGAAUUGCCUGAGCAUAGUCUGCCGGGUCAGCCAUUCUGUUUUUUUUUUUUUUAAUUUUAUUUGCUCAAAAAAAUACAUAACAAUUGCACAGAGAAUGCAUUUAGACAUAUUAAGUCUUUAAAAUGCUUAAUUUUAGUUUAGCUUAAAUUAUACUAGCUAUUAACUAAGAUUUAACAUAAUGUAUACUACCUAAAAAUUAACUGGAGUAAAGAUAAAACAUAUUUAUUAUAAAAUAAAUAUGUCUUUUCAUUUUAACUGAAUUACGACGGACUGACCCGUCCAAAAGUCAAGUGUCUCCUGACAAGUCCAUAGAGCAAUAGAAGGCGCUCAAAUAUUUUAUUUAUUGGCCAUUCUGUGAGAUGCACAUUAGAUAGUUCAGAUGAUAGCCAUCAAAUGGUGAUGAACUGCAUUGCUCCUUUACUUCAGGCUUGAAUUGAUUAUUUGAUAGAUUCAUUCCUACGGUCUUGAAAAGCCUUUAUUAUCAAUCAGUUCUAAGUCAGCUAAAUUUUCCAAAUCUAUAUGCAACCAAUAAAUUAACCUGCUGUAGUACUUAGUAGCUCGUCAAUGACUGGGGAGCAUAUGACAAAAAGCUAUUUACAGAUUGAUGUUGUCAUCAAAACUUGUUACCAUCAACAGGAAAAGAGACGUUAGCUGAGUUUUGGAAUUUAACAAAGCUGAUAAUCAAAAUAUUUUCUAACUGUGAUGAUUUUUUAUUCCGGCAAAACAGUAAUCUGCUCGAGUCGGCAAAAUCACUCGUUCCGCGCGGGCUAAAAAUCAAUUUUAUUCAUCCUACAAGCAUUAACUUUCUCGUUAUUUUACAGAAUCCACUGGAUUGGCACCAAGUAAAACAGAAGUCAAACCUCCAGUACUGCAACACAAUACUGCACCUGUAGUUCCAAAUAUCACCUCAACAGAGCCUCCAGUUCCCAUUCCCAGCGUGGUGGCAGUCCCGAAAACGGAGGUUGAGUCGCCCUCCACAACUCAGUCAU